AGCGAACGCUGGCGGCAGGCCUAACACAUGCAAGUCGAACGAACUCUUCGGAGUUAGUGGCGGACGUGUGAGUAACACGUGGGAACUUGCCUUUUGGUUCGGAAUAACUCAGGGAAACUUGUGCUAAUACCGAAUGUGCCCUUCGGGGGAAAGAUUUAUCGCCAUUAGAGCGGCCCGCGUCUGAUUAGCUAGUUGGUGAGGUAACGGCUCACCAAGGCGACGAUCAGUAGCUGGUCUGAGAGGAUGACCAGCCACACUGGGACUGAGACACGGCCCAGACUCCUACGGGAGGCAGCAGUGGGGAAUCUUGCGCAAUGGGCGAAAGCCUGACGCAGCCAUGCCGCGUGAAUGAUGAAGGUCUUAGGAUUGUAAAAUUCUUUCACCGGGGACGAUAAUGACGGUACCCGGAGAAGAAGCCCCGGCUAACUUCGUG
RNAcentral lists this ribosomal RNA (433 nucleotides) under uncultured bacterium. RNAcentral's name for it is "partial 16S ribosomal RNA". It matches the Rfam family "Bacterial small subunit ribosomal RNA", at positions 29 to 507 of the family's 1533-position model. The record is from RNAcentral.